RNAcentral lists this ribosomal RNA (370 nucleotides) under uncultured organism. Its description in RNAcentral is "bacterial SSU rRNA". It matches the Rfam family "Bacterial small subunit ribosomal RNA", at positions 527 to 896 of the family's 1533-position model. The record is from RNAcentral.
CGAGGGUGCAAGCGUUAUCCGGAUUCGACUGGGUUUAAAGGGUUGCGUAGGUGGGCGAAGUAAGUCAGUGGUGAAAUCUCCGGGCUUAACCCGGAAACUGCCACUGAUACAUUUGUCUUGAAUACUGUUGGAGGUCAGCGGAAUAUGUCAUGUAGCGGUGAAAUGCUUAGAUAUGACAUAGAACACCAAUUGCGAAGGCAGCUGGCUACACAAAUAUUGACACUGAGGCACGAAAGCGUGGGGAUCAAACAGGAUUAGAUACCCUGGUAGUCCACGCCCUAAACUAUGGAUACUCGACAUUUGCGAUAAACUGCAAGUGUCUGAGCGAAAGCAUUAAGUAUCCCACCUGGGAAGUACGAUCGCAAGAUUG